Molecule: ribosomal RNA, 344 nt
Filed under: uncultured Verrucomicrobiota bacterium
Lineage: Bacteria; Pseudomonadati; Verrucomicrobiota
Description: bacterial SSU rRNA
Rfam family: Bacterial small subunit ribosomal RNA
Source: RNAcentral
AACGAACGCUGGCGGCGUGGAUAAGACAUGCAAGUCGAACGCUGGCUGCGGGGUAGCAAUAUUCCGCAGUUGGAGUGGCGUAAGGGUGCGUAACACGUGGGUAAUCUGCCGUGAAGCCUGGGAUAACCCCGAGAAAUCGGGGCUAAUACCGGAUGUGGCUGCCUGGGGGCAUCUCUGGGCGGCUAAAGCUGGGGACCGUAAGGCCUGGCACUUCAUGAUGAGCCCGCGGCCUAUCAGCUAGUUGGUGAGGUAACGGCCCACCAAGGCUAAGACGGGUAGCUGGUCUGAGAGGACGACCAGCCACACUGGAACUGAGACACGGUCCAGACACCUACGGGUGGCUG